Molecule: ribosomal RNA, 427 nt
Filed under: uncultured bacterium
Lineage: Bacteria
Description: partial 16S ribosomal RNA
Rfam family: Bacterial small subunit ribosomal RNA
Source: RNAcentral
UGGGGAAUAUUGCACAAUGGGCGCAAGCCUGAUGCAGCCAUGCCGCGUGUAUGAAGAAGGCCUUCGGGUUGUAAAGUACUUUCAGCGGGGAGGAAGGUGUUGUGGUUAAUAACCACGGCAAUUGACGUUACCCGCAGAAGAAGCACCGGCUAACUCCGUGCCAGCAGCCGCGGUAAUACGGAGGGUGCAAGCGUUAAUCGGAAUUACUGGGCGUAAAGCGCACGCAGGCGGUCUGUCAAGUCGGAUGUGAAAUCCCCGGGCUCAACCUGGGAACUGCAUCCGAAACUGGCAGGCUUGAGUCUUGUAGAGGGGGGUAGAAUUCCAGGUGUAGCGGUGAAAUGCGUAGAGAUCUGGAGGAAUACCGGUGGCGAAGGCGGCCCCCUGGACAAAGACUGACGCUCAGGUGCGAAAGCGUGGGGAGCAAACA